This is a non-coding RNA of Geopyxis carbonaria, 91 nucleotides long. The record is from the annotation of a GenBank genome assembly. Lineage: Eukaryota; Fungi; Ascomycota; Pezizomycetes; Pezizales; Tarzettaceae.
UCUUUGGUAGUAUAGUGGUUAGUAUACCCGCCUGUCAUUACCGUCCAGUGACUGCCCGCGGGUGACCGGGGUUCAAUUCCCCGCCAGAGAG